RNAcentral lists this ribosomal RNA (95 nucleotides) under uncultured bacterium. RNAcentral describes it as "partial 16S ribosomal RNA". It matches the Rfam family "Bacterial small subunit ribosomal RNA", at positions 339 to 432 of the family's 1533-position model. The record is from RNAcentral.
CUACGGGAGGCAGCAGUGGGGAAUAUUAGACAAUGGGGGCAACCCUGAUCCAGCCAUGCCGCGUGAGUGAUGAAGGCCUUCAGGGUUGUAAAGCU